Molecule: ribosomal RNA, 120 nt
Filed under: uncultured bacterium
Lineage: Bacteria
Description: partial 16S ribosomal RNA
Rfam family: Bacterial small subunit ribosomal RNA
Source: RNAcentral
AAUCAACGCUGGCGGCGUGCCUAAUACAUGCAAGUCGGACGCGAAGACCCCGCAAGGGGUUGGUAGCGUGGCAAACGGGUGAGUAACGCGUGGGCGACCUGCCUUCGAGUGGGGGAUAAC